RNAcentral lists this ribosomal RNA (478 nucleotides) under uncultured bacterium. RNAcentral describes it as "partial 16S ribosomal RNA". It matches the Rfam family "Bacterial small subunit ribosomal RNA", at positions 28 to 523 of the family's 1533-position model. The record is from RNAcentral.
GACGAACGCUGGCGGCGUGCUUAACACAUGCAAGUCGAACGGUAAGGCCCUUCGGGGUACACGAGUGGCGAACGGGUGAGUAACACGUGGGUGAUCUGCCCUGCACUUCGGGAUAAGCCUGGGAAACUGGGUCUAAUACCGGAUAGGACCAAUGACUGCAUGGGUGGCGGUGGAAAGCUCUUGCGGUGUGGGAUGGGCCCGCGGCCUAUCAGCUUGUUGGUGGGGUGAUGGCCUACCAAGGCGACGACGGGUAGCCGGCCUGAGAGGGUGACCGGCCACACUGGGACUGAGAUACGGCCCAGACUCCUACGGGAGGCAGCAGUGGGGAAUAUUGCACAAUGGGCGCAAGCCUGAUGCAGCGACGCCGCGUGAGGGAUGACGGCCUUCGGGUUGUAAACCUCUUUCAGCACCGACGAAGCGCAAGUGACGGUAGGUGCAGAAGAAGGACCGGCCAACUACGUGCCAGCCGCCGCGGUAA